UCCAUUGAAUAGCUCAGUUGGUAGAGCACCAGACAUGAAUGCUGGAGUCCUAGGUUUAAUCCCUGGUGGUUGAA
Mycena leptocephala is the source of this 74-nucleotide non-coding RNA. The record is from the annotation of a GenBank genome assembly. NCBI's taxonomy places the organism in Eukaryota, Fungi, Basidiomycota, Agaricomycetes, Agaricales, Mycenaceae.